UACGGAGGGUGCAAGCAUUAAUCGGAAUAAUUGGGCGUAAAGGGCGCGUAGGCGGAUAGAUAAGUCAGGUGUGAAAUUCCGAGGCUCAACUUCGGAGCUGCAUUUGAAACUAUCGAUCUUGAGGGAUGGCGGAGAAAGUGGAAUUCCACGUGUAGCGGUGAAAUGCGUAGAUAUGUGGAAGAACACCUGUGGCGAAAGCGGCUUUCUAGCUAUGACCUGACGCUGAGGCGCGAGAGCAAGGGGAGCAAACAGG
This 253-nucleotide ribosomal RNA is filed under the name uncultured bacterium. Its description in RNAcentral is "partial 16S ribosomal RNA". It matches the Rfam family "Bacterial small subunit ribosomal RNA", at positions 524 to 776 of the family's 1533-position model. The record is from RNAcentral.